Molecule: long non-coding RNA, 476 nt
Filed under: Trifolium pratense (red clover)
Lineage: Eukaryota; Viridiplantae; Streptophyta; Magnoliopsida; Fabales; Fabaceae
Description: long non-coding RNA (TPRA_LNC007869)
Source: RNAcentral
GUUACAAUAGUUUAAUAGAGGAAGCAGCCUCUUGGUCAACCUUAUCCUAGAAGUAGAAAAAGAAAUAAAUAAUUCCUAUUAUGUUAGGACUCAGAAUACAAAUGUUGACAAUGAGUCAUCAUUAGCUAAUGAUCACCAUGUGGGGCCUAGGAAUUGGUUAGUUUAUUCUAGAAGAAGGACAGCUGGCAGGAAGAGUUAGUUGUGACGUAGAGCAAGAGAGAGAAGGGUGAUAGCUAGUAGUAACUUCCUUUCCACAAUAUAAGGAGUCAGAUAUGAUUGGAGAAGCAUCUUAUCAUUUUACUAAGUUUGUUAGAAUGCAGGUCCAAGUCUAACUUGGCCUUACUGAGCGUUGCUCUGGUUAGUUACAGUGUUAGGAUCCCAUUUCUCCUAAUCUCAUCUGUAAUUCUUCAUCAUUAUUAUCAAUAAAGCUAUAUUUGCCCUGUUUUUCACUAUAUUUCCAUUGAUACCUGUUCUGG